UACGGAGGGUGCAAGCGUUAUCCGGAUUUACUGGGUUUAAAGGGUGUGUAGGCGGACUUUUAAGUCCGUGGUGAAAUCUCCGGGCUCAACCCGGAAACUGCCAUGGAUACUAUUGGUCUUGAAUGUUGUGGAGGUGGGCGGAACGGGUCAUGUAGCGGUGAAAUGCUUAGAGAUGACCCGGAACACCGAUUGCGAAGGCAGCCCACUACGCAACUAGUGACGCUGAGGCACGAAAGCGUGGGGAGCAAACGGG
RNAcentral lists this ribosomal RNA (253 nucleotides) under uncultured bacterium. Its description in RNAcentral is "partial 16S ribosomal RNA". It matches the Rfam family "Bacterial small subunit ribosomal RNA", at positions 524 to 776 of the family's 1533-position model. The record is from RNAcentral.